RNAcentral lists this ribosomal RNA (254 nucleotides) under uncultured Eubacteriales bacterium. RNAcentral describes it as "uncultured Clostridiales bacterium partial 16S ribosomal RNA". It matches the Rfam family "Bacterial small subunit ribosomal RNA", at positions 524 to 776 of the family's 1533-position model. Lineage: Bacteria; Bacillati; Bacillota; Clostridia; Eubacteriales. The record is from RNAcentral.
UACGUAGGGGGCAAGCGUUAUCCGGAUUUACUGGGUGUAAAGGGAGCGUAGACGGUUACGCAAGUCUGGAGUGAAAGGCGGGGGCCCAACCCCCGGACUGCUUUGGAAACUGGCGGGCUAGAGAGCAGGAGAGGGCGGUGGAACUCCAUGUGUAGCGGUAAAAUGCGUAGAUAUAUGGAAGAACACCAGUGGCGAAGGCGGCCGCCUGGCCUGUUAACUGACGCUGAGGCACGAAAGCGUGGGGAGCAAAUAGG